GAAAUAUGUAAAUCAAGAAAAAGCUGCUAACUUUUUUCUUUAGUGGUUUAAAUCCAUUAAUAUUUCU
This 67-nucleotide transfer RNA is filed under the name Nothancyla verreauxi. Its description in RNAcentral is "tRNA-Ser". The record is from RNAcentral. Lineage: Eukaryota; Metazoa; Arthropoda; Insecta; Neuroptera; Chrysopidae.